This 440-nucleotide ribosomal RNA is filed under the name uncultured bacterium. Its description in RNAcentral is "partial 16S ribosomal RNA". It matches the Rfam family "Bacterial small subunit ribosomal RNA", at positions 338 to 795 of the family's 1533-position model. The record is from RNAcentral.
CCUACGGGAGGCAGCAGUGGGGAAUAUUGCACAAUGGGGGAAACCCUGAUGCAGCAACGCCGCGUGAGUGAAGACGUAUUUCGGUAUGGAAAGCUCUAUCAGCAGGGAAAAGAAUGACGGUACCUGACUAAGAAUCCGCGGCUAACUACGUGCCAGCAGCCGCGGCAAUACGGCGGGGGCAAGCGUUAUCCGGAUUUAAUGGGUGUAAAGGGAGCGUAGACGGCUGUACAAGUCUGAAGUGAAAGCCGGUGGGUCAACCGCGGAACGGCUGUGGAAACUGUAAGGCUGGAGUAGUGGAGAGGCAGGCGGAAUUCGUAGUGUAGCGGUGAAAUGCGUAGAUAUUAGGAGGAACACCAGUGGCGAAGGCGGCCUACUGGACAGAAACUGACGUUGAGGCUCGAAAGCGUGGGGAGCGAACAGGAUUAGAUACCCCAGUAGUC